This 1340-nucleotide ribosomal RNA is filed under the name uncultured bacterium. RNAcentral's name for it is "partial 16S ribosomal RNA". It matches the Rfam family "Bacterial small subunit ribosomal RNA", at positions 28 to 1380 of the family's 1533-position model. The record is from RNAcentral.
GACGAACGCUGGCGGCGUGCUUAACACAUGCAAGUCGAACGGUAAGGCUCCAGCUUGCUGGGGUACACGAGCGGCGAACGGGUGAGUAACACGUGGGUGACCUGCCCUGCACUUCGGGAUAAGCCUGGGAAACUGGGUCUAAUACCGGAUAGGACCGCACCGUGAGGGUGUGGUGGAAAGUUUUUUCGGUGUGGGAUGGGCCCGCGGCCUAUCAGCUUGUUGGUGGGGUAAUGGCCUACCAAGGCGGCGACGGGUAGCCGGCCUGAGAGGGUGGACGGCCACAUUGGGACUGAGACACGGCCCAGACUCCUACGGGAGGCAGCAGUGGGGAAUAUUGCACAAUGGGCGGAAGCCUGAUGCAGCGACGCCGCGUGGGGGAUGACGGCCUUCGGGUUGUAAACUCCUUUCACCAUCGACGAAGGGUUUCUGACGGUAGAUGGAGAAGAAGCACCGGCUAACUACGUGCCAGCAGCCGCGGUAAUACGUAGGGUGCGAGCGUUGUCCGGAAUUACUGGGCGUAAAGAGCUCGUAGGUGGUUUGUCGCGUCGUCUGUGAAAUUCCGGGGCUUAACUCCGGGCGUGCAGGCGAUACGGGCAUAACUUGAGUACUGUAGGGGAGACUGGAAUUCCUGGUGUAGCGGUGAAAUGCGCAGAUAUCAGGAGGAACACCGGUGGCGAAGGCGGGUCUCUGGGCAGUAACUGACGCUGAGGAGCGAAAGCAUGGGGAGCGAACAGGAUUAGAUACCCUGGUAGUCCAUGCCGUAAACGGUGGGCGCUAGGUGUGGGUUUCCUUCCACGGGAUCCGUGCCGUAGCUAACGCAUUAAGCGCCCCGCCUGGGGAGUACGGCCGCAAGGCUAAAACUCAAAGGAAUUGACGGGGGCCCGCACAAGCGGCGGAGCAUGUGGAUUAAUUCGAUGCAACGCGAAGAACCUUACCUGGGCUUGACAUAUACAGGAUCGCGCCAGAGAUGGUGUUUCCCUUGUGGCUUGUAUACAGGUGGUGCAUGGUUGUCGUCAGCUCGUGUCGUGAGAUGUUGGGUUAAGUCCCGCAACGAGCGCAACCCUUGUCUUAUGUUGCCAGCACGUUGUGGUGGGGACUCGUAAGAAACUGCCGGGGUUAACUCGGAGGAAGGUGGGGAUGACGUCAAAUCAUCAUGCCCCUUAUGUCCAGGGCUUCACACAUGCUACAAUGGUCGGUACAGUGGGUUGCCAGUCCGUGAGGGCGAGCUAAUCCCGCAAAGCCGGUCUCAGUUCGGAUCGGGGUCUGCAACUCGACCCCGUGAAGUCGGAGUCGCUAGUAAUCGCAGAUCAGCAACGCUGCGGUGAAUACGUUCCCGGGCC